ACCAUGGUGAUGUUAGCAUCAUGGCAGAGUGAGCUGUGCCCUUAGUCUCUUCCCCCUAAGCUACAAGCAAACGGACAUUCAUUAAUCAACAGAGGAUUCUGUACAAAGCACAAUAGGACGUCUGAGAG
Ceratotherium simum simum (southern white rhinoceros) is the source of this 128-nucleotide non-coding RNA. The record is from RefSeq and is a predicted model, not a curated record. Lineage: Eukaryota; Metazoa; Chordata; Mammalia; Perissodactyla; Rhinocerotidae.